Molecule: transfer RNA, 86 nt
Filed under: Rhodococcus (subgen. Prescottella) equi
Lineage: Bacteria; Bacillati; Actinomycetota; Actinomycetes; Mycobacteriales; Nocardiaceae
Description: Prescottella equi tRNA-Gly
Source: RNAcentral
CACACGCAGAAGGGGUUGGGCCACCCGUCGGCACUGCCGGUGCCCAGCAGUACGACCUCGAUGGUCCAACCCCUUCCGUGCGUGUC